RNAcentral lists this ribosomal RNA (484 nucleotides) under uncultured bacterium. RNAcentral's name for it is "partial 16S ribosomal RNA". It matches the Rfam family "Bacterial small subunit ribosomal RNA", at positions 30 to 507 of the family's 1533-position model. The record is from RNAcentral.
AUUGAACGCUGGCGGCAGGCCUAACACAUGCAAGUCGAGCGGAUCAAGGGAGCUUGCUCCUGGAUUCAGCGGCGGACGGGUGAGUAAUGCCUAGGAAUCUGCCUGGUAGUGGGGGAUAACGUCCGGAAACGGGCGCUAAUACCGCAUACGUCCUGAGGGAGAAAGUGGGGGAUCUUCGGACCUCACGCUAUCAGAUGAGCCUAGGUCGGAUUAGCUAGUUGGUGGGGUAAAGGCCUACCAAGGCGACGAUCCGUAACUGGUCUGAGAGGAUGAUCAGUCACACUGGAACUGAGACACGGUCCAGACUCCUACGGGAGGCAGCAGUGGGGAAUAUUGGACAAUGGGCGAAAGCCUGAUCCAGCCAUGCCGCGUGUGUGAAGAAGGUCUUCGGAUUGUAAAGCACUUUAAGUUGGGAGGAAGGGCAGUAAGUUAAUACCUUGCUGUUUUGACGUUACCAACAGAAUAAGCACCGGCUAACUUCGUG